AGGACGAACGCUUGCGACGUGCCUAAGAAAUGCAAGUCGAACGGACAGCAGCAAUGCUGUUAGUGGCGAACGGUCGCGUAACACGUGGGCAACCUGCCCUGAAGCGGGGGACAACAACUCGAAAGAGUUGCUAAUACCGCAUGUGAAUUGCUCUGGCAUCAGAGCGUAUUCAAAGCCGCAAGGCACUUCAGGAUGGGCCCGCGGCCUAUCAGCUUGUUGGUGAGGUAGUGGCUCACCAAGGCGACGACGGGUA
RNAcentral lists this ribosomal RNA (253 nucleotides) under uncultured bacterium. RNAcentral's name for it is "partial small subunit ribosomal RNA". It matches the Rfam family "Bacterial small subunit ribosomal RNA", at positions 26 to 285 of the family's 1533-position model. The record is from RNAcentral.